CGGGGAUUGCGAGCGUUGUCCGGAAUUACUAGGCGUAAAGGGCAGGCAGGCGGAUCCAUAAGUUUAUCGUUUAAGGCGUCGGCUUAACCGGCGUAGGGCGGUAGAUACUGUGGAUCUGGAAUGCGGUUGGGGAAGACAGAAUUCCUGGUGUAGCGGUGGAAUGCGCAGAGAUCAGGAGGAAUACCGAAGGCGAAGGCAGUCUUCCAAGCCGUUAUUGACGCUCAACUGCGAAGGUGUGGGUAUCAAACAGGAUUAGAUACCCUGGUAGUCCCU
Molecule: ribosomal RNA, 273 nt
Filed under: uncultured prokaryote
Description: partial 16S ribosomal RNA
Rfam family: Bacterial small subunit ribosomal RNA
Source: RNAcentral